RNAcentral lists this ribosomal RNA (257 nucleotides) under uncultured bacterium. RNAcentral's name for it is "partial 16S ribosomal RNA". It matches the Rfam family "Bacterial small subunit ribosomal RNA", at positions 96 to 354 of the family's 1533-position model. The record is from RNAcentral.
UGGCGACGGGUGAGUAACGCGUGGGGAACCUGCCCUGUACAGGGGGAUAACACUUAGAAAUAGGUGCUAAUACCGCAUAAGCGCACAGUAUCGCAUGAUACAGUGUGAAAAACUCCGGUGGUACAGGGUGGACCCGCGUCUGAUUAGCUGGUUGGCGGGGUAACGGCCCACCAAGGCGACGAUCAGUAGCCGGCCUGAGAGGGUGAACGGCCACAUUGGGACUGAGACACGGCCCAAACUCCUACGGAAGGCAGCAG